UUGAGAACUCUGUGUGCAACCAUAGCUCAUGAUUCCAUCACUGAUGAUAUGGCCAAAACCACUAGUAUACUUCAGGAUAUGAGUGCCACAGAUCCGGACUUCAAAGUUUGUGUGCAAGUAGACGGUGAAAGCAGGGUGAAAACAGUAAUAUGGUGUAAUGGUAAAAAUCGGCUGGAUUAUGCACAUUUCGGUGAUGUGGUUACUUUCGACACCACUUACAGGACCAACCUGUAUAACAUGCCAUUUGGGCUUUUUGUUGGUGUGAAUAACCAUUUCCAGUCUAUUAUUUUUGGCGGCGUCCUCAUGGUUGAUGAAAAGACUCCCACAUUUGAAUGGGCAUUCAGAAACUUUAUUGACUUGAUGGACGGGAAACAUCCUACUACUAUAUUGACAGAUCAAUGCAAAGCUAUGCAAAAUGCUUUACGAAGUACAAUGCCCCACACCCGUCAUAGGUGGUGCAGAUGGCAUGUGUUAAAGGUCUUGAAAGAGAAAACUGGACACGUGUACAACAAACAUUCUGCCUUCAAGAAGGAAUUCCACGCAAUAGUAAAUGAAGAGACGGAUGUAGAAUCAUUUGAGCGAAUGUGGCAUCAAUUGAUUAAAAAAUACAAACUUCAAGGAAACAAGUACCUUCGCAGGAUUUUCAAGUGGAGGGACAUGUGGGCAAUGCCAUACUUCUUGGGCACAUUCUGUGCCGGGAUGACCAGCACGCAACGGAGCGAGAGUGCGAAUCAUCUCCUCAAAAAGUUCAUCAGCAGAUCAUCCCCAAUGCACUUGUUUGUUAAGCAGUACAACAAAUUGCUUGAUUCCAGGAGCCAGGCAGAAGACGAGGCAAAUUAUGUCAGCAAGCAGACACGCAGGCGGCUUGUAAUUGGCGCUACUAUCGAGAUAGAUGCAGCGGCUGUGUACACGAAGGCCUUGUACGAAAAAUUUUCACACGAACUUUUUAGAUCAGGCUCAUUUGAUGCACGGCGUUCCAAGCCUGGACACGUCUACAAGGUCAAAUUGUCGCCGCAACUAGCCUUAACUGAUUAUGACAAAAAGGUAUUCACC
Molecule: ribosomal RNA, 1053 nt
Filed under: Triticum aestivum (bread wheat)
Lineage: Eukaryota; Viridiplantae; Streptophyta; Magnoliopsida; Poales; Poaceae
Description: partial small subunit ribosomal RNA
Source: RNAcentral